GAUCCUGGCUCAGAAUCAACGCUGGCGGCGUGCCUAACACAUGCAAGUCGAACGAGAAAGUGGAGCAAUCCAUGAGUAAAGUGGCGCACGGGUGAGUAACACGUGACUAACCUACCUUUUAGUGGGGGAUAACCUAGGGAAACCUGGGCUAAUACCGCAUAACACUUACGAGUCAAAGCAGCAAUGCGCUGAAAGAGGGGGUCGCGGCCGAUUAGUUAGUUGGCGGGGUAAUGGCCCACCAAGGCAGUGAUCGGUAUCCGGCCUGAGAGGGCGCACGGACACACUGGAACUGAAACACGGUCCAGACUCCUACGGGAGGCAGCAG
RNAcentral lists this ribosomal RNA (325 nucleotides) under uncultured Acidobacteriota bacterium. Its description in RNAcentral is "bacterial SSU rRNA". It matches the Rfam family "Bacterial small subunit ribosomal RNA", at positions 15 to 354 of the family's 1533-position model. Lineage: Bacteria; Pseudomonadati; Acidobacteriota. The record is from RNAcentral.